RNAcentral lists this ribosomal RNA (696 nucleotides) under Hymenochaetales sp. 7 LM-2012. RNAcentral's name for it is "eukaryotic LSU rRNA". The stretch from base 248 to 401 matches the Rfam family "5.8S ribosomal RNA". The record is from RNAcentral. Lineage: Eukaryota; Fungi; Basidiomycota; Agaricomycetes; Hymenochaetales.
GCUGGUGCGGAAACGCGCAUGUGCACGGCUUUUCGUGCUCAAAUCCAAUUAACCCCUGUGCACCUCAAGAGUCGGAGUCAGUAGCCUCUGUAAUCGAACGGCUUGAAGUAACGUCGGCUGUGAAAGGCAGACAGAAAAAGAGCUCUUCAAAGAGAGAGGAGGAGGCGAAAGCUUUUGGCUAAUAUUACAAACACCUUUUGAUUGUUAUAUGUGAAUGUAAUGCUCCUUGUGGGCGAUAAUGAAAUACAACUUUCAACAACGGAUCUCUUGGCUCUCGCAUCGAUGAAGAACGCAGCGAAAUGCGAUAAGUAAUGUGAAUUGCAGAAUUCAGUGAAUCAUCGAAUCUUUGAACGCACCUUGCGCCCUUUGGUAUUCCGAAGGGCAUGCCUGUUUGAGUGUCAUGUUAAUCUCAAACCACUUGUCUAUUUCGUUACUGAAUGGACUUGUGGUUUGGACUUGGAGGCUUUUGCUGGCCCGGGUGGCGGCUUCGUUACCCUUGGUUUGUCGGCUCCUCUGAAAUGUAUUAGCUGGACUUUGGUUCGCGUUUACGGUGUAAUAAUAAUAAUCAUUCAUUUCACUAAGACGCUUGCCUGAACGGUCUGCUUCUAAUCGUCCUUGACUUGGACAAGGAUCCCGUUAGUGGGCCUUCUUGACACCUUUGACCUCAGAUCAGGUAGGACUACCCGCUGAACUUAA